RNAcentral lists this ribosomal RNA (469 nucleotides) under uncultured bacterium. Its description in RNAcentral is "partial 16S ribosomal RNA". It matches the Rfam family "Bacterial small subunit ribosomal RNA", at positions 28 to 507 of the family's 1533-position model. The record is from RNAcentral.
GACGAACGCUGGCGGCGUGCUUAACACAUGCAAGUCGAACGGAAAGGCCCUGCUUGCAGGGUGCUCGCGUGGCGAACGGGAGAGUAACACGUGGGUGAUCUGCCCCUUACUUUGGGAUAAGCCUGGGAAACUGGGUCUAGUACUGGAUAGGACCAUGCCGUAGGUGGUGUGGUGGAAAGAUUAGUUUCGGUAAGGGAUGAGCUCGCGGCCUAUCAGCUUGUUGGUGGGGUAAUGGCCUACCAAGGCGUCGACGGGUAGCCGGCCUGAGAGGGUGGACGGCCACAUUGGGACUGAGGUACGACCCAGACUCCUACGGGAGGCAGCAGUGGGGAAUAUUGCACAAUGGGCGCAGGCCUGAUGCAGCGACGCCGCGUGGGGGAUGACGGCCUUCGGGUUGUAAACUCCUUUCAGCCAUGACGAAGCCCUUGUGGUGACGGUAGUGGUAGAAGAAGCACCGGCUAACUACGUG